This is a long non-coding RNA of Sycon ciliatum, 465 nucleotides long. RefSeq lists it as uncharacterized. Lineage: Eukaryota; Metazoa; Porifera; Calcarea; Leucosolenida; Sycettidae. The record is from RefSeq and is a predicted model, not a curated record. The transcript is spliced from 3 exons.
CGCACGAGCAACACCAUCAGCAGGAACAUCAAUUGCCUUCCUGGCCAGGCAUGGUGGACCUCAGUGACGCACCAGUUUCACUGAAUGCAGAUUUAGCAAUUCUACUCAAAACGGAACAUAGAUGUCCGGACGAAGAAGAGCUGGAUGAAUUGUGGCCGGACCUAUCACGUCAUGAGAAGAUAGUACGGGCUGCCAACGUGCACCAGAGAGCAGACAUUACCAUGGACUUAUUUUCAGUAUUUAUGAAGAAAAGAGCACAACGCGAAGCAGAGUUUGAGAAGAAACAAAACGAGUAACUCACCCAGUUGUCAGGACAGUCCGACAUCACUGGCGAUGGUGGUAAUCAGCAAGAUCAGUCCAUAAGUGGAGCACCUGUUGCUGAGAACUCCCACAAGUCCCUAAUGGACGUCUUCCUGGAAGUCAUUAGGCUGUCCACCCUGGCUUUUGUUUUGCUGUAGAUAAGAU